UGCAGAUGAUGUGAAGAAUAUUUGCUAUCUGAACAGCGUUGCUGACAACCCACCAAGAUCACUGAUGCA
This is a small nucleolar RNA of Cyclopterus lumpus (lumpfish), 69 nucleotides long. Its record names the gene SNORD24. It matches the Rfam family "Small nucleolar RNA SNORD24". From Rfam's summary of the family: U24 is a member of the C/D class of snoRNA which contain the C (UGAUGA) and D (CUGA) box motifs. C/D box snoRNAs have been shown to act as methylation guides for a number of RNA targets. NCBI's taxonomy places the organism in Eukaryota, Metazoa, Chordata, Actinopteri, Perciformes, Cyclopteridae. The record is from Ensembl.